This 274-nucleotide ribosomal RNA is filed under the name uncultured bacterium. RNAcentral's name for it is "partial 16S ribosomal RNA". It matches the Rfam family "Bacterial small subunit ribosomal RNA", at positions 523 to 796 of the family's 1533-position model. The record is from RNAcentral.
AUACGGAGGGGGUUAGCGUUGUUCGGAAUUACUGGGCGUAACGCGCACGUAGGCGGCUUUGUAAGUCAGAGGUGAAAGCCUGGAGCUCAACUCCAGAACUGCCGUUGAGACUGCAUCGCUUGAAUCCAGGAGAGGUCAGUGGAAUUCCGAGUGUAGAGGUGAAAUUCGUAGAUAUUCGGAAGAACACCAGUGGCGAAGGCGGCUGACUGGACUGGUAUUGACGCUGAGGUGCGAAAGCGUGGGGAGCAAACAGGAUUAGAUACCCUAGUAGUCC